Molecule: ribosomal RNA, 467 nt
Filed under: uncultured bacterium
Lineage: Bacteria
Description: partial 16S ribosomal RNA
Rfam family: Bacterial small subunit ribosomal RNA
Source: RNAcentral
GACGAACGCUGGCGGCGUGCUUAACACAUGCAAGUCGAACGGAAAGGCCCUGCUUUUGUGGGGUGCUCGAGUGGCGAACGGGUGAGUAACACGUGAGUAACCUGCCCUUGACUUUGGGAUAACUUCAGGAAACUGGGGCUAAUACCGGAUAGGAGCUCCUGCUGCAUGGUGGGGGUUGGAAAGUCUCGGCGGUUGGGGAUGGACUCGCGGCUUAUCAGCUUGUUGGUGGGGUAGUGGCUUACCAAGGCUUUGACGGGUAGCCGGCCUGAGAGGGUGACCGGCCACAUUGGCACUGAGAUGCGGCCCAGACGCCUCCGGGCGGCAGCGGCGGGGAAUAUUGCGCAAUGGGCGGCAGCCUGAUGCAGCACCGCCGCGUGCGGGAUGACGGCCUUCGGGUUGUAACCCGCUUUCGCCUGUGACGAAGCGUGAGUGACGGUACUGGGUAAAGAAGCACCGCCUAACUACGU